GGCACUUUGGCGGAGUGGUUAACGCGGUAUGUUUGCAUUGCUUGUUGAGAUUGUGAGGUGCGGUUGCUAACGGGAAUAGCUGGCCUGCUAGUCCUUCUGUUGAGGGGAAGUUAGCCAGUUCCUUCGGGAGCGUGUGUUCGAAUCACACAGGUGUCG
Molecule: transfer RNA, 156 nt
Filed under: Plenodomus lingam JN3
Lineage: Eukaryota; Fungi; Ascomycota; Dothideomycetes; Pleosporales; Leptosphaeriaceae
Description: tRNA-Und (NNN) (tRNA-Und-NNN-1-1)
Rfam family: tRNA
About the family: Transfer RNA (tRNA) molecules are approximately 80 nucleotides in length.
Source: RNAcentral